Molecule: ribosomal RNA, 428 nt
Filed under: Eugerda sp.
Lineage: Eukaryota; Metazoa; Arthropoda; Malacostraca; Isopoda; Desmosomatidae
Description: partial 16S ribosomal RNA
Source: RNAcentral
UGACCGUGCUAAGGUAGCAUAAUCAUUUGCCUUUUAAUUAAAGGCUGGAAUAAACGAGGGGACAGCAUCAAAUCUUUUUUAUUUUAAAAACUGGAAACUAAUAACUGCUUCAAAAAAAGCAGAUUCUUAAARAGACGAUAARACCCUAUAAAACUUUAUUCAAAAAUAAAAGCUUAAUUUUUUCCUGCGCCUUAAAAAUGAAUUGAGUUGGGGCGACAUCUAACCUCUCUUUARAAAAUAUAACRUAAUUUAAUGACCUGAAAGAUCUUAACUUUAAAAAAGUUAAAACAAGUUACUUUAGGGAUAACAGCACAAUUUCCUUUUAUAGUCCUUAUAGAAGAGGAAGACUUGUGACCUCGAUGUUGAAUUGAGGGGCCUUAUUUAAGCAGAAAUUAAUAAAGGGAGUCUGUUCGACUUUUAAACCCUCA